CAAGGAUGUUUUCAUUAAUCA
Molecule: non-coding RNA, 21 nt
Filed under: Arabidopsis thaliana (thale cress)
Lineage: Eukaryota; Viridiplantae; Streptophyta; Magnoliopsida; Brassicales; Brassicaceae
Source: RNAcentral